GCUGCAUUCUCCAAACAACAACUUUAUCUUGUGCUAAUGCAUGCAGCAUCUCUAAAACAAGCAGGAUUGUGGAAGUAGCCAUUUUCAGAUAUCAAAUAGUACAGAUUUAGCAUGUAUCGGUGAGUGGUUGAGGUGCUGGGACUUGGACACUAAUCACUAAGGCGGCGCUGCCACACAGCACAAUAGGUUGCUGUGAACGCGUGGGUGUGCGCGAUGGUGGUCUGGUGAUUCUUUCAUGGCUUAAUGAGGUAAGCAACAACAUGCCUGAGGCCACGCU
Long non-coding RNA from Gasterosteus aculeatus aculeatus (three-spined stickleback), 277 nucleotides. The record is from Ensembl. NCBI's taxonomy places the organism in Eukaryota, Metazoa, Chordata, Actinopteri, Perciformes, Gasterosteidae.